Molecule: ribosomal RNA, 253 nt
Filed under: uncultured bacterium
Lineage: Bacteria
Description: partial 16S ribosomal RNA
Rfam family: Bacterial small subunit ribosomal RNA
Source: RNAcentral
GACAGAGGGUGCAAACGUUGUUCGGAAUUACUGGGCGUAAAGCGCGUGUAGGCGGCAGGGUAUGUCGGAUGUGAAAUCCCGUGGCUCAACCACGGAAGUGCACCCGAAACUACCCAGCUUGAGUCUCGGAGAGGAAGGCGGAAUGCUUGGUGUAGAGGUGAAAUUCGUAGAUAUCAAGCGGAACACCGGUGGCGAAGGCGGCCUUCUGGACGAUGACUGACGCUGAGACGCGAAAGCGUGGGGAGCAAACAGG